RNAcentral lists this ribosomal RNA (2036 nucleotides) under termite gut metagenome. RNAcentral's name for it is "bacterial LSU rRNA". It matches the Rfam family "Bacterial large subunit ribosomal RNA", at positions 3 to 2035 of the family's 2925-position model. The record is from RNAcentral.
UUAAGCUAAUAAGAGCAUAUGGUGGAUGCCUUGGCACCAAGCGCCGAAGAAGGACGUGGUAAGCUGCGAAAAGCUACGGGGAGCCGCAAACAGGCCUAUGAUCCGUAGAUAUCCGAAUGUGGAAACACACUUUAUGGAAACAUAGAGUAGGCACGCAUGAAUAGAUAGUGCGUAGCCGGGGAACCCGGGGAACUGAAACAUCUAAUUACCCGGAGGAAAAGAAAGUAAAACAACGAUUGCGUAAGUAGUGGCGAGCGAACGCGCAAGAGCCUAAACCAAGCGAUGAAAAUCGUUUGGGGUUUUGGACUCACGAAAAGCACAUAACAACUGUAGUUGAAGCUGCUGUGGGAAACAGCGCCAGAGAGGGUAAAAGCCCCGUAAGCGAAACGGUUGUUAUAGCGAGUGAUGAUCCGGAGUACCGUCGAGCACGAGAAAUUCGGCGGGAAUAAGGGAGGCCCAUCUCCUAAGGCUAAAUACGACUUGGUGACCGAUAGCGUAUAGUACCGUGAGGGAAAGGUGAAAAGAACCCCGGGAGGGGAGUGAAAGAGAACCUGAAACCGUAUGCUUACAAGCAGAGAGAGCACUACGCCGGCAACGGCAGGUGUGAUCUCGUACUUUUUGUAGAACGGGCCGGCGAGUUACGAUGUGUUGCGAGGUUAAGUAUCUAAGAUACGGAGCCGAAGCGAAAGCGAGUCUGAAAAGGGCGCCUUUAGUAGCAUGUUGUAGACCCGAAACCUGGUGACCUAACCAUGAGCAGGUUGAAGCAGGAGUAAAAUCUUGUGGAGGACCGAACGCACGCCUGUUGAAAUAGUCGGCGAUGACUUGUGGUUAGCGGAGAAAUUCCAAUCGAACCGGGAUAUAGCUGGUUCUCCUCGAAAUAGCUUUAGGGCUAGCCUCAUAAAGGAGUAUCGGGGGUAGAGCGCUGAAUGGGCUAGGGGCCUUCACGGGUUACCGAACCUUAUCAAACUGCGAAUACCGAAAACUUUAAUUUAUGGGAGUCAGACUGCGUGAGAUAAGUUUCGCGGUCAAAAGGGAAACAGCCCAGACCCACAGCUAAGGUCCCAAAGUGCAGGUUAAGUGGAAAAGGAUGUGUCAUUGCACAGACAACCAGGAUGUUGGCUUAGAAGCAGCCACACAUUCAAAGAGUGCGUAAUAGCUCACUGGUCGAGUGAUGUCGCGCCGAAGAUUACCGGGGCUAAAACCUGCCACCGAAGCUUGGGAAUUGUAGUAAUAUAAUUGGUAGAGGAGCAAUGUUAUCGGGAGGAAGCCGUAUCGAAAGGGGCGGUGGACUGGUAACAAGAGAGAAUGCCGGCAUAAGUAGCGAGAGAGAAGUGAGAAACUUUUCCGUCGAAAGCCUAAGGUUUCCUGGGGAAGGUUCGUCCGCCCAGGGUAAGUCGGGACCUAAGCCGAGGCCGAAAGGCGUAGGUGAUGGACACACGGUAGAUAUUCCGUGACCGUCGUACGGUUCUAUGCAGGGACACAGAAGGAUAGCCAAACCCCGCGGAUGGAAAAGCGGGGCCGUGGAGCGAGGCCGGAACGUAGUGAAGUACGCGUUCCGUUAAGGCUGGGCUCAGCGGGGACUAAUUGAUGGUAGUUGGUGAAUUCACGCUGGCGAGAAAAUCUGCGUUUGGGACAACCGUAUGAACGCCCGUACCGCAAUCCGACACAGGUAGGCGGCAAGAGAAUUGCAAGACGAACGGGAUAACCCUUGUUAAGGAACUCGGCAAAAUGACCCCGUAACUUAGGGAUAAGGGGAGCCCGGGCUAACCCCCGGGUCGCAGCGAGUAGGCCCAAGCGACUGUUUAUCUAAAACACAGGUCUCUGCGAAAGCGCAAGCUGAAGUAUAGGGGCUGACGCCUGCCCAGUGCUGGAAGGUUAAGGGGAAAUGUUAGGGGCAACCCGAAGCAUAGAACUUAAGCCCCAGUGAACGGCGGCCGUAACUAUAACGGUCCUAAGGUAGCGAAAUUCCUUGUCAGGUAAGUUCUGACCCGCAUGAAUGGCGUAACGACUUGGGCGCUGUCUCAACAAGGGGCCCG